Molecule: small RNA, 127 nt
Filed under: Marmota monax (woodchuck)
Lineage: Eukaryota; Metazoa; Chordata; Mammalia; Rodentia; Sciuridae
Source: RNAcentral
GCCAGGCAUGGUGGUGCAUACCUGUAAUCUCAGCAACUCCGGAGGCUGAAGCAGGAAGAUCUUGAGUUCAAGGCCAGUCUCAGCAACUUAUCGAGGCCCUGAACAACUUAGUGAGACCCUGUCUUAA